AGUUUAUCUGAUAGCAAAAGGAAUCCAGACGAUCAGGAAGAAGGACGAGAAUGAAAGUCUGCAGAGAACUGGACGAUGACAGAGAUGGAAAAUAGCCUCAGGUGUUUGGAGGAGGUAUGAGGUGGAGAUUCCUUAAAUGUUGUGGAUGCAUUGUCUCGCUCACCUCUUAAUUCAUUUAUUUUUCUCUUGUGUUUUGUUACCCCUCCACUGUUUCUGCUUCAUUUCCUCUUAAAAUGCUUCGGAGGAUCCAAGUUGCUGAGGUUUGAGGUGGUUGGAGUUGGAGUGGGUGACAUUGUAUGUUGGUUGGAAAAGAAAAAAAACAAGAGAACUGGUUUGCAGUCUUCCAUGUUUUUUUUCUUUUGUUAUUAUUCUUAAUAAUUUGGUCUGAGUGUUUAGUUUUUUUUUAAAUAACCUUGUGGGUUCUUUCUUUUAUGGUGGGGGGUUACGACCCCGGCCUUACCCUCUUCCAGGCCUGUGUGUUUGUGUAUGUUUUCUCCUUUUUGUUAGCAGGUCCUGGUUGAGUUGGAGUCUCCACCCUUUGGGCGGGCCUGGCCAGUCUAACAGAGGGUAUCAAAGCUGCUGGGAGUCAUGGUGUUGUCCCUCCCACCUGGUAGAUGAAGCUGCAGCCUGUCCAACCCUCCAGGAUUUAUCUUUAGUUUAAUUACAUAUGUGUUAAAAUAAACCUUUGGUUAAGUCUUUCCCAGUCUCCCUCUUGUUCGUCAUGACUUAUUCGAUCCGUCGUGACACCAGGAAAUAGUCAGACCCCUCGCUUCAUUAGGAGUUUCAGAGUCAGUAGAUGACAGGAGUUCAUGUCACGUCUGGAAGAAGGAAAAUGGAAGCAGAAGGUCAUGUGACCUCGCCUUCGUUCAGUUCUACUGUCACUGAGAUCAACAAUUUGACAGCUUGAAGCUCCGCCCCUCCUCUCAGCCGCUGUCAGGUUUUCCUCAGAUCUGCUCUCAGCAGCUUCAUCACUGAUUGAGUUCAGGACGACUCUCACUCUGACAUCAACAUCUCCACCUGCUGCCCCGCCCACCUGUGCUGCCCCGCCUCCAUCCCAGGUGGACUCUUUCUUCCUGGUUCAGUCAGUGAUGUGUGCUGCAGCUGCGUUGACUCGGUGAAGGCUGGAAGAAGGUGUGUGUGAGCUGAUCCUGUGGAUCCAGUCAAUCCAGCAGCAUGGAUCGGUGGGAGGAGACACGGGAGGGAGCCCCUCCCUCUAAAAGCACUCUGUGUGGGAAAGAUGACAACCAGAGCAAAGCUCAGAGUCUUCACAGGAACCAACCUGGAUCUGGAUCCAGCUGUGUGUACUUCAGGAGUGACUGGUCAAAGGGUUACAUUCCUAACUUCAAAUACAUCAUCUCAGCAGUGAAACA
Oryzias melastigma (Indian medaka) is the source of this 1370-nucleotide long non-coding RNA. RefSeq lists it as uncharacterized. NCBI's taxonomy places the organism in Eukaryota, Metazoa, Chordata, Actinopteri, Beloniformes, Adrianichthyidae. The record is from RefSeq and is a predicted model, not a curated record. The transcript has 4 exons.